ACUUUAAUAGCUUAUUUUUAGAGUAUAAUAUUGAAGAUAUUAGGGAGAUAUUUUUAUCUUAAAGUA
This 66-nucleotide transfer RNA is filed under the name Elateroidea sp. AH-2016. Its description in RNAcentral is "tRNA-Phe". Lineage: Eukaryota; Metazoa; Arthropoda; Insecta; Coleoptera. The record is from RNAcentral.